This 2921-nucleotide ribosomal RNA is filed under the name Escherichia coli. RNAcentral describes it as "LSU rRNA". It matches the Rfam family "Bacterial large subunit ribosomal RNA". Lineage: Bacteria; Pseudomonadati; Pseudomonadota; Gammaproteobacteria; Enterobacterales; Enterobacteriaceae. The record is from RNAcentral.
GGUUAAGCGACUAAGCGUACACGGUGGAUGCCCUGGCAGUCAGAGGCGAUGAAGGACGUGCUAAUCUGCGAUAAGCGUCGGUAAGGUGAUAUGAACCGUUAUAACCGGCGAUUUCCGAAUGGGGAAACCCAGUGUGAUUCGUCACACUAUCAUUAACUGAAUCCAUAGGUUAAUGAGGCGAACCGGGGGAACUGAAACAUCUAAGUACCCCGAGGAAAAGAAAUCAACCGAGAUUCCCCCAGUAGCGGCGAGCGAACGGGGAGGAGCCCAGAGCCUGAAUCAGUGUGUGUGUUAGUGGAAGCGUCUGGAAAGGCGCGCGAUACAGGGUGACAGCCCCGUACACAAAAAUGCACAUACUGUGAGCUCGAUGAGUAGGGCGGGACACGUGGUAUCCUGUCUGAAUAUGGGGGACCAUCCUCCAAGGCUAAAUACUCCUGACUGACCGAUAGUGAACCAGUACCGUGAGGGAAAGGCGAAAAGAACCCCGGCGAGGGGAGUGAAAAAGAACCUGAAACCGUGUACGUACAAGCAGUGGGAGCCUCUUUUAUGGGGUGACUGCGUACCUUUUGUAUAAUGGGUCAGCGACUUAUAUUCUGUAGCAAGGUUAACCGAAUAGGGGAGCCGAAGGGAAACCGAGUCUUAACCGGGCGUUAAGUUGCAGGGUAUAGACCCGAAACCCGGUGAUCUAGCCAUGGGCAGGUUGAAGGUUGGGUAACACUAACUGGAGGACCGAACCGACUAAUGUUGAAAAAUUAGCGGAUGACUUGUGGCUGGGGGUGAAAGGCCAAUCAAACCGGGAGAUAGCUGGUUCUCCCCGAAAGCUAUUUAGGUAGCGCCUCGUGAAUUCAUCUCCGGGGGUAGAGCACUGUUUCGGCAAGGGGGUCAUCCCGACUUACCAACCCGAUGCAAACUGCGAAUACCGGAGAAUGUUAUCACGGGAGACACACGGCGGGUGCUAACGUCCGUCGUGAAGAGGGAAACAACCCAGACCGCCAGCUAAGGUCCCAAAGUCAUGGUUAAGUGGGAAACGAUGUGGGAAGGCCCAGACAGCCAGGAUGUUGGCUUAGAAGCAGCCAUCAUUUAAAGAAAGCGUAAUAGCUCACUGGUCGAGUCGGCCUGCGCGGAAGAUGUAACGGGGCUAAACCAUGCACCGAAGCUGCGGCAGCGACACUGUGUGUUGUUGGGUAGGGGAGCGUUCUGUAAGCCUGUGAAGGUGUACUGUGAGGUAUGCUGGAGGUAUCAGAAGUGCGAAUGCUGACAUAAGUAACGAUAAAGCGGGUGAAAAGCCCGCUCGCCGGAAGACCAAGGGUUCCUGUCCAACGUUAAUCGGGGCAGGGUGAGUCGACCCCUAAGGCGAGGCCGAAAGGCGUAGUCGAUGGGAAACAGGUUAAUAUUCCUGUACUUGGUGUUACUGCGAAGGGGGGACGGAGAAGGCUAUGUUGGCCGGGCGACGGUUGUCCCGGUUUAAGCGUGUAGGCUGGUUUUCCAGGCAAAUCCGGAAAAUCAAGGCUGAGGCGUGAUGACGAGGCACUACGGUGCUGAAGCAACAAAUGCCCUGCUUCCAGGAAAAGCCUCUAAGCAUCAGGUAACAUCAAAUCGUACCCCAAACCGACACAGGUGGUCAGGUAGAGAAUACCAAGGCGCUUGAGAGAACUCGGGUGAAGGAACUAGGCAAAAUGGUGCCGUAACUUCGGGAGAAGGCACGCUGAUAUGUAGGUGAAGUCCCUCGCGGAUGGAGCUGAAAUCAGUCGAAGAUACCAGCUGGCUGCAACUGUUUAUUAAAAACACAGCACUGUGCAAACACGAAAGUGGACGUAUACGGUGUGACGCCUGCCCGGUGCCGGAAGGUUAAUUGAUGGGGUCAGCGCAAGCGAAGCUCUUGAUCGAAGCCCCGGUAAACGGCGGCCGUAACUAUAACGGUCCUAAGGUAGCGAAAUUCCUUGUCGGGUAAGUUCCGACCUGCACGAAUGGCGUAAUGAUGGCCAGGCUGUCUCCACCCGAGACUCAGUGAAAUUGAACUCGCUGUGAAGAUGCAGUGUACCCGCGGCAAGACGGAAAGACCCCGUGAACCUUUACUAUAGCUUGACACUGAACAUUGAGCCUUGAUGUGUAGGAUAGGUGGGAGGCUUUGAAGUGUGGACGCCAGUCUGCAUGGAGCCGACCUUGAAAUACCACCCUUUAAUGUUUGAUGUUCUAACGUGGACCCGUGAUCCGGGUUGCGGACAGUGUCUGGUGGGUAGUUUGACUGGGGCGGUCUCCUCCUAAAGAGUAACGGAGGAGCACGAAGGUUGGCUAAUCCUGGUCGGACAUCAGGAGGUUAGUGCAAUGGCAUAAGCCAGCUUGACUGCGAGCGUGACGGCGCGAGCAGGUGCGAAAGCAGGUCAUAGUGAUCCGGUGGUUCUGAAUGGAAGGGCCAUCGCUCAACGGAUAAAAGGUACUCCGGGGAUAACAGGCUGAUACCGCCCAAGAGUUCAUAUCGACGGCGGUGUUUGGCACCUCGAUGUCGGCUCAUCACAUCCUGGGGCUGAAGUAGGUCCCAAGGGUAUGGCUGUUCGCCAUUUAAAGUGGUACGCGAGCUGGGUUUAGAACGUCGUGAGACAGUUCGGUCCCUAUCUGCCGUGGGCGCUGGAGAACUGAGGGGGCUGCUCCUAGUACGAGAGGACCGGAGUGGACGCAUCACUGGUGUUCGGGUUGUCAUGCCAAUGGCACUGCCCGGUAGCUAAAUGCGGAAGAGAUAAGUGCUGAAAGCAUCUAAGCACGAAACUUGCCCCGAGAUGAGUUCUCCCUGACCCUUUAAGGGUCCUGAAGGAACGUUGAAGACGACGACGUUGAUAGGCCGGGUGUGUAAGCGCAGCGAUGCGUUGAGCUAACCGGUACUAAUGAACCGUGAGGCUUAACCUUACAACGCCGAAGGUGUUUUG